RNAcentral lists this ribosomal RNA (253 nucleotides) under uncultured bacterium. RNAcentral's name for it is "partial 16S ribosomal RNA". It matches the Rfam family "Bacterial small subunit ribosomal RNA", at positions 524 to 776 of the family's 1533-position model. The record is from RNAcentral.
UACGUAGGUGACCAGCGUUGUCCGGAUUUACUGGGCGUAAAGAGCGCGCGGGCGGUCGUUCAAGUCGAGUGUGAAAGCCCCCGGCUCAACUGGGGAGGGUCACUUGAUACUGAUCGACUCGAAGGCAGGAGAGGGAAGCGGAAUUCCCGGUGUAGUGGUGAAAUGCGUAGAUAUCGGGAGGAACACCAGUGGCGAAGGCGGCUUCCUGGCCUGUUCUUGACGCUGAGGCGCGAAAGCUAGGGGAGCAAACGGG